CCUACGGGGGGCUGCAGUGGGGAAUCUUGGACAAUGGGGGCAACCCUGAUCCAGCCAUGCCGCGUGUGUGAAGAAGGCCUUCGGGUUGUAAAGCACUUUCAGCAGGGAGGAAGGCUUACCCCUAAUACGGGUGAGUACUUGACGUUACCUGCAGAAGAAGCACCGGCUAAUUUCGUGCCAGCAGCCGCGGUAAUACGAAAGGUGCAAGCGUUAAUCGGAAUUACUGGGCGUAAAGCGCGCGUAGGCGGUGUGUUAAGUCGGAUGUGAAAGCCCAGGGCUCAACCUUGGAAUUGCAUCCGAUACUGGCACGCUAGAGUGCAGUAGAGGGAGGUGGAAUUUCCGGUGUAGCGGUGAAAUGCGUAGAGAUCGGAAGGAACACCAGUGGCGAAGGCGGCCUCCUGGACUGAUACUGACGCUGAGGUGCGAAAGCGUGGGGAGCAAACAGGAUUAGAUACCCGAGUAGUC
RNAcentral lists this ribosomal RNA (465 nucleotides) under Pectobacterium carotovorum. Its description in RNAcentral is "bacterial SSU rRNA". It matches the Rfam family "Bacterial small subunit ribosomal RNA", at positions 338 to 795 of the family's 1533-position model. The record is from RNAcentral. RNAcentral also lists the same sequence under 1 other name. Lineage: Bacteria; Pseudomonadati; Pseudomonadota; Gammaproteobacteria; Enterobacterales; Pectobacteriaceae.